RNAcentral lists this ribosomal RNA (669 nucleotides) under uncultured fungus. RNAcentral's name for it is "eukaryotic LSU rRNA". It matches the Rfam family "Eukaryotic large subunit ribosomal RNA", at positions 24 to 664 of the family's 3401-position model. Lineage: Eukaryota; Fungi. The record is from RNAcentral.
CCCGCUGAACUUAAGCAUAUCAAUAAGCGGAGGAAAAGAAACUAACAAGGAUUCCCCUAGUAACUGCGAGUGAAGCGGGAAGAGCUCAAAUUUAAAAUCUGGCGUGCCUCUGGUCGUCCGAGUUGUAGUCUGGAGAAGCGUUUUCCGUGUUGGACCGUGUAUAAGUCUCUUGGAACAGGGCGUCAUAGAGGGUGAGAAUCCCGUCUUUGACACGGACUACCAAUGCUUUGUGAUGCGCUCUCAAAGAGUCGAGUUGUUUGGGGAAUGCAGCUUCAAAAUGGGGUGGUAAAUUUCCAUCCAAAAGCUAAAAAUAGGCGAAGAGACCGAUUAGCGAACAAGUUACCGUGAGGGAAAGAUGAAAAAGCCUUUUGGAAAGAGAGUUAAAACAGUACGUGAAAUUGCUGAAAGGGAAACGCUUGAAGUCAGUCAUGUCUGCCAGGACUCAGCCUCGCUUCUGCUUGGUGUACUUUCUGGUUUGAUGGGCCAACAUCAAUUUUGACCGUUGGAGAAAGGCUUUGGGAAUGUGGCACCCUCGGGUGUGUUAUAGCCCAUUGUUGUAUACGACGGUUGGGAUUGAGGACUGCAGCACGCCUUUAUGGCCGGGGUUCGCCCACGUACGUGCUUAGGAUGUUGGCAUAAUGGCUUUAAGCGACCCGUCUUGAAACACGG